GGGACUGUGUGAUCUUUCUGAGA
RNAcentral lists this non-coding RNA (23 nucleotides) under Cricetulus griseus (Chinese hamster). The record is from RNAcentral. Lineage: Eukaryota; Metazoa; Chordata; Mammalia; Rodentia; Cricetidae.